CCGAUCUCGAAAACCUGUCCCAGUUCGGACUGGAGUCUGCAACCCGACUCCACGAAGUUGGAUCCGCUAGUAAUCGCGCAUCAGCCAUGGCGCGGUGAAUACGUUCCCGGGCCUUGUACACACCGCCCGUCAAGCCAUGGGAGCCGGGGGCGCCUGAAGUCCGGGACCGCGAGGACCGGCCUAGGGCGAAACUGGUGACUGGGGCUAAGUCGUAACAAGGUAGC
RNAcentral lists this ribosomal RNA (224 nucleotides) under uncultured bacterium. Its description in RNAcentral is "partial 16S ribosomal RNA". It matches the Rfam family "Bacterial small subunit ribosomal RNA", at positions 1268 to 1500 of the family's 1533-position model. The record is from RNAcentral.